GAGACACCCCUCCGGGGCAAGACUUGCUUCAAUGGGGCUUUGGUGCUCACUGAGUCUGCCCGCUGAGUGUGUCCUU
RNAcentral lists this microRNA precursor (76 nucleotides) under Myotis lucifugus (little brown bat). RNAcentral describes it as "mir-9229 microRNA precursor family". It matches the Rfam family "mir-9229 microRNA precursor family". The record is from Rfam by way of RNAcentral. Lineage: Eukaryota; Metazoa; Chordata; Mammalia; Chiroptera; Vespertilionidae.